This 551-nucleotide ribosomal RNA is filed under the name Salmonella enterica. RNAcentral describes it as "partial 23S ribosomal RNA". It matches the Rfam family "Bacterial large subunit ribosomal RNA", at positions 1 to 589 of the family's 2925-position model. Lineage: Bacteria; Pseudomonadati; Pseudomonadota; Gammaproteobacteria; Enterobacterales; Enterobacteriaceae. RNAcentral also lists the same sequence under 1 other name. The record is from RNAcentral.
GGUUAAGCGACUAAGCGUACACGGUGGAUGCCCUGGCAGUCAGAGGCGAUGAAGGACGUGCUAAUCUGCGAUAAGCGCCGGUAAGGUGAUAUGAACCGUUAUAACCGGCGAUUUCCGAAUGGGGAAACCCAGUGUGAUUCGUCACACUAUCAUUAACUGAAUCCAUAGGUUAAUGAGGCGAACCGGGGGAACUGAAACAUCUAAGUACCCCGAGGAAAAGAAAUCAACCGAGAUUCCCCCAGUAGCGGCGAGCGAACGGGGAGGAGCCCAGAGCCUGAAUCAGCAUGUGUGUUAGUGGAAGCGUCUGGAAAGGCGCGCGAUACAGGGUGACAGCCCCGUACACAAAAGCGCAUGUGCUGUGAGCUCGAUGAGUAGGGCGGGACACGUGGUAUCCUGUCUGAAUAUGGGGGGACCAUCCUCCAAGGCUAAAUACUCCUGACUGACCGAUAGUGAACCAGUACCGUGAGGGAAAGGCGAAAAGAACCCCGGCGAGGGGAGUGAAAAAGAACCUGAAACCGUGUACGUACAAGCAGUGGGAGCACAGGUUUACC